Cucumis melo (muskmelon) is the source of this 3709-nucleotide RNA transcript. It is a transcript of the gene named putative pentatricopeptide repeat-containing protein At1g16830, with no coding region annotated. Lineage: Eukaryota; Viridiplantae; Streptophyta; Magnoliopsida; Cucurbitales; Cucurbitaceae. The transcript has 5 exons. The record is from RefSeq and is a predicted model, not a curated record.
CAAAACCUUUUAAAACCAUCCUAUAUUUUCUUUCUAAACCCUACUCCCCGUUCAGCAAAACCCCUCCCGUCCCUUUAGCCGCCGCCGCCGUCUCAACGGCUGCCGCUGCACCGAUGAACUCGCUGCCACUCCCUCCCUUUCACACUCCCUCGUCUCUCCAAGAAAUCAGAACUACUUAUCGUCGUUGUUUUUUUUUUCUUUCUCAGAAACAAAAAAAAAGUGGUUUAGCCCUUAAACCGCGCCGUUGGUGAGAUCUCGCUGACACUCACUUGCAUGCCGCUCAUUUUCAGCUAUCGAAGGUUUUGAUGAUUUGGUUCUGUUUCAUCGAGUUACAGGGAAGAACUUGCACAAAAUUUCAAACCACAAACUGAUUUCAUUUCUUCCGUGUAUGUCUGAUUUGAAAUACUUCCGAAUUCGCGGGAGUUAUCUUUUCUGCUUUCUCUAGCUUCUACCACCAUUGUUCAUUUUUCUCAUGUUGCGUUGGAACACAAGAAAGUUGAACUUUUUUGGCAAUGAUAUGGAGAUAUGGCUGUAAUAUCUUCCAAAUAGCACCUCGUCAAAUCUUCAGAGCAUUUGCCCGUCAUUCAUAUCGUCAAUGUACAACCCCACUUAUAAAUUUAACUAAAAUCCUCCACAAUCGACUAGACGAAGACAUUGAACAGAAAAUUCCUAAGAACAGGCAAGUGAUUCUCACUAAUGAUCUCGUGUACACCACUCUGUUGAAUUGUUCUUCUGAUUUAAUCGCUUUGAGCUUUUUCAUGUGGUGUGCUAAACAGCCCAAUUUCUUCCACAACCCUGCGGCGUUUGAUUAUAUGGUGGGUGUGGUUUCCCGUCUCAUGAAACAAUAUGAAACUGUGGAUGGGAUUCUUGGGGGGUUGGAGAGUGUUGGUAAUGUGACUAAGGCACAAACGUUUCUGCUUCUUUUGAGGAUUUAUUGGCGUGGAGGAAUGUUCGAUUUGGUUUUUGAAGCAUUUGACCAUAUGAAUCACUGUGGAUUUACACCAAACACAUUUGCACGUAACGUGAUUAUGGACGUGUUGUUCAAGGUUGGACGUGCUGAUGUUGCUUUGAAGGUCUUUAAAGAGACCCAGCUACCAAAUUUUUUGACAUUCAACAUUGUGUUGUGUAAUUUAUCCAAAAUAAAGGAUUUGAUAGGUAUUGGAGAUGCUUUUAGAUGUAUGUUGAGAAUGGGGUAUUAUCCUAAUCCUGGGACAUUUGAAGUGGUUUUGAAUGGUUUAUGCAAAUUAGGUAGGCUGGCAGAAGCAUAUCAAGUAUUGGGUAUAAUGACAACUUUUGGAAUAUCCAUAUCCGUAAACAUCUGGACUAUAAUGAUUGAUGGAUUCUGUAGAUUGCACAGAACCGAUGAAGCUACUUCUUUGGUGAAAAAGAUGAAAAAAUCUGGUUGUUCUCCAAACAUUGUGACAUAUACUACAUUGAUUAAGGGAUAUAUAUAUGCACAACGAGUUAUUGAUGCAUUUGAUGUUUUAAGUAUUAUUGAAUCAGAAGGGCCUUCCCCUGACCUUGUUCUUUAUAAUGUAUUGAUUGAUAGCCUUGCUAAGAAUGAGAGGUACAAUGAUGCUCUCAGUAUUUUUCUUAGUUUGGAUAAACGAAAGAUACUGCCCGACUGUUAUACCUUCAGUUCAUUGUUGAAUACCAUAUGUUUAUCCAAAAGGCUUUUUCUUCUACCCAAGUUGGUUGAUGGAUUUUUUGUUGAAGUUGACUUGGUAGCAUGUAACUCUCUGCUUAGUUAUCUUGGUAAGGCUGGGUUAGCUGCACUUGCGUUGGAACUAUAUGAUAACAUGGUGAAUAGAGGUUUAAUGCCAGAUAAGUAUAGUGUUCUUGGAGUACUGACUGGUCUUUGUGAAUCAAGGAGAAUUGGUGAAGCAGUUCGUCUGUACAAUGGCAUUCUCUUGAACUAUACAGGAGUUGAUGCUCAUAUCCACACUGUAAUUAUGGAUGGACUUAUAAAAGCUGGUAAGUUUCAUUCAGCCAUAAGGAUAUUCAGAACAAAUUUAUUGGAGGAAAAUUCUUUAGAUGUUGUAUCAUAUUCUGUUGCCAUUCGUGGGCUUCUUAUGGUCGGUAGAAAUAGAGAGGCUUCUAACUUGUAUAACUAUAUGAAGGAGGCUGGAAUAAAUCCAAAUGGGCAUAUUUGCAAUGUAAUGCUCUCCACUUUUUGUAAAGAAAAAAAUUUUGCAUUAGUGAAGCAGGUGCUGCAAGAAAUGAUUGACCUGGGAAUAGAAAUGAGUAGGAAUAAUUUCUUUCGGUUAUACAAAGCCAUUUGUAGAUCAUCAAACGACUCUCAUUUGGUUAUCCAUUUAUUAAUUGAGAUGAAAGUUUUGGGAUUAUUACCUAGGAAACGAGAUUGUGAAACAUUGGUUCUUUAUCCCCCCAAAGGUGUGAAUAUUUCUGAAAAACAUUAUAAAUUACUGAAUGGCUGUCUAGAAUACUGUCUAUAUGGUGAUACAUCUAGCUCCGAAGAAUAUACUGAUGUGGCCGCUUUUGUGGGCUGAGUUUGUAUGUGGAAGAAAGUCAAUUUUCGAAAUGAUGGUUCAGCUGCUAUUUUUGGCAAUCUAGAAUGUAUUAUAACAUGUCUCAAGCAGUAUAAAGACUGGAACUCCAUGGAAUUGAAAGCUAUAUCCAGCUGCAGAUUGGGUACAAGGCUUUCGCAGCUGGUUUUUUUUGCGCCUUCAUGAUAUUUAAAAGGAUCACAUGUUGGUAUAAGUUUGGUGGAGUAGCUGCUCCUUCUCAAUGGCGAAAGCUUAAGAGAAACAAUAGUCUUCAACAACCAAGAAAGUUCCUUUGUGGGGGCAAUUUAAUCUGUGUGCUGUACUUGCAUUGAGAUAAAAACCUCGAACUCUGCAGCAGAAGACGAUGAGCCCUAAGUGAUGUCGAUGCUCAAAUAUAUUUCCCUUGUUGAUGUAGGGAUAAAUCUUCUCAUAUAGGGAAAAUUUCAGGCUAAUCUUUCGUAUGUGAGACGAGACAAUGAUAUCCUAGUUCCCACAUCACUGGAUCUGUUUUGGUUGAUGGUCGAUCCAAGUUUUAAUUUUGCAGCAGAGGGCUUUGAAGAACUUCCAGAGAUGUCACUGGUUCCGUAUUGUAGAAUGUAGGUGCCUGUUUCUGAUAAAAAAGAAAACAUUUAUUGUAGAUUGGGGGAUGGAGCCGUUGGUGCCAGACUUUGGAAAAGGCUAUUCUUCUCGCUCAGGACAAACCUAAUCAAUGGCCGUCUCCGCCUCUAUUUGUUGAAUGACAUGGCUUAAACUUCAAAGAACUGUUUUACGCAGUAGAGCUUAGAUUUCGAGAGACCGUGUUUGACGAAGAAUCAAAGGAACAGGCGACUCAAAGGCCUGAUCUGCUGAAGAGUCAAGGUGGGGUUCUUGUAAAUUUGUGUUUGAGCUUCUUCGUAAAAAUUUCCUCAGAAGUUGUAAUGUAGAAUUUUAGAAUCCCUUUGGAAAUAGUUGUAUACUUGCCUCAAUGCUGUUAAAGGCCCCUGUUAAGAACUUUGCUCUUAAGAAUCUCUCUCUCUCUCUCUCUCUCUCUCUCUCUCUCUCUCUAUAUAUAUAUAUAUAUAUAUAUAUAUAUAUAUAUGACUUUCUUUUGUAUUGAGAGACUUGUAAAUUACUUAUGUUACAGGUGUGCAAGUCAACCAUUUUUUUUCCCUUAAUAUAUUUGGGAGAUUGGAAUGAAAUUCUGAUCCCGACAUUAUUCCCUA